UGGGGAAUAUUGGACAAUGNGGGCAACCCUGNNNCAGCCAUNCCGCGUGCGUGAAGAAGGCCUUAGGGUUGUAAAGCGCUUUCAGCGGGGACGAUGAUGACGGUACCCGCAGAAGAAGCCCCGGCUAACUCCGUGCCAGCAGCCGCGGUAAUACGGAGGGGGCAAGCGUUGUUCGGAAUUACUGGGCGUAAAGGGCGCGUAGGCGGCACAUCAAGUCAGAGGUGAAAGCCCCGGGCUCAACCUGGGAAUUGCCUUUGAAACUGAUGAGCUAGAGUGCGGAAGAGGAUAGCGGAAUUCCCAGUGUAGAGGUGAAAUUCGUAGAUAUUGGGAAGAACACCAGUGGCGAAGGCGGCUAUCUGGUCCGGUACUGACGCUGAGGCGCGAAAGCGUGGGGAGCAAACAGGAUUAGAUACCCGCGUAGUCC
Molecule: ribosomal RNA, 424 nt
Filed under: uncultured prokaryote
Description: bacterial SSU rRNA
Rfam family: Bacterial small subunit ribosomal RNA
Source: RNAcentral